Molecule: long non-coding RNA, 1723 nt
Organism: Lucilia cuprina (Australian sheep blowfly)
Lineage: Eukaryota; Metazoa; Arthropoda; Insecta; Diptera; Calliphoridae
Exons: 3
Source: RefSeq, a predicted model, not a curated record
UCCCUUUUAUAAAUGUAUAUUAAAGUAACAAAAAUGAAAACAUAAUAACAAUUUAUAACAAUUUGUAUAUGUUUAAGUAAUAAACGCAUUUAAUGUAAAUUAAGAUAAUUUGCUAUGAAUUUGAAAACUAAAAGUUUUUAUUAUUGCGUUUUUCCUAUGUACACAAUUUAUAUUGUUUAACUAUUUUAACCUUAACCUUAAUUAUUUUUACUAAUAUAUAAUUUUCUUUUUGUUUUUACAGAUGUCUAAAUGAAAACAAUUUAACGCCAAGACUAAAUAUAAAAAGAAUGUUAUCUCUGAUGUUGUCAAGUUGAAACUACAGCAGUAAACUCCAAAUAGCUGCCUGUUUUAAUGUUUACCACAAUCAAUCGGAAGUAAUAACUACUUUUUUCCCAGUAAAAUGAAAUAAAAGUGAAAAAUAUCUAUAAAUGAGUGUGAAGUAUAAGACAAGAAAUAGUCUUGAGAUAAAGUACCAACAAACUAUGGUCAGUAUUAGAGGUAAUGGUAUGAUGUUUUCCAUCUAGCUGAAUGUUAAUGAUAAUGAUGAUGUUAUAAAGUGUAAACUACAAUUUUGCAAGCAAUAGUUUUCUUAUCGAUUGAUUAACAUGCUGUAAACAAAUUGAAUAAUGAUAAAAGUAAAGCAGUUAUUAAAGCAUUAUCAUCAUCAAUAUUGACAUGUGUUUUUUGACAUUGUCAUCUUCAUCAUCAACAGCAUCUCUGGCUUUAACAACUUUAACGUUGUCUUGGCACAUUUCUUAAAUGUGUUUAUUUAAUUUGAAUGCUUUCAUUUCUGGGUGUAUUACAUAUUUGACCACUUUAGUUUAUGGGCAUGUAUCUUUCAGUUACCUAUACAUGUUUACUUUAUAUAUACACAUACAUACAUGUCAUAUCUAUAGGUAUUUUAACAAUACAAUUAUUUGCCAUUUAUUAUUAUUAUUGCUUUAACUUUUAAACUAAUAAAUACUUUCUCCUUGGUUGGUGUGGUUUUUUUCUUUCUUUCUUUUUUUUUUUAAUUUAAUUUUGUUUUUGUUUUCUUACUAUUUUUAUGCUUUUUAUUUUAUUUCCCUACAUUUUGCUGUCGGUUGGUUUGACUUGAUUAGUCAUAAAAAAAUAUUCAUAAAUUGUAUUUGCUAAUCAUCAUAAUAUGUAAAUGUUUCAGCAAAUAUCCAGCAAGUAUGUAGAUAGAGUUAUUUAAUAGUUAGUAAACAAAUAUGUAUGUAUGUUUAUGUAUUUACGUGUGUUUAUAUUAUUACGUAGAAGUUGCAGUUUAGGGUUUUGCCUAGUGUGUGUUUAAAAUAGAAUAAAGUUAUGUUUAAUAAACCAAGGCACGUAAAUAAGUUCAAUUUAAAUAAAAAAUUUGUUAAUAAACUAAUUUAUUUAGUUGAUUAAUUAAGACCCUUUUUUAAAUUUUAAUAGUUUUAGUUAAAAAGUUUUUAAAUUUUUAAUUAAAUUCUAAGUUUAUUUGCUUAUCUGUUUUGAAAUCUUCGGUUUGAAAUAAGUAAUUCUGCUGUUGUUUCUUAAUGCAAACUUAUCAGAUUAAAUAAGUUUUAAUUAAAGUUUUUAAAAUCUUUUAAAUAACUUAGAAUCAAGGUUAUAUUUCAUUUUAAAUCAAUUUAAUUAAAAAAAAAAUCAUGUAAUAUAGUAUUGAAAAUAUUUUAGUGAAUUAAUUAGAAAACUAAAAAGGUUAAGAUUUAAAUUUUAUUUCAGAUUAAUUGCUACUAAA